RNAcentral lists this ribosomal RNA (497 nucleotides) under uncultured bacterium. Its description in RNAcentral is "partial 16S ribosomal RNA". It matches the Rfam family "Bacterial small subunit ribosomal RNA", at positions 28 to 507 of the family's 1533-position model. The record is from RNAcentral.
GAUGAACGCUGGCGGCGUGCCUAACACAUGCAAGUCGAACGGACGGACGAUAAGCUUGUGGCGUUGAUGUUAGCGGAGGGCGGGUGUGUAACGCGUGGAUAAUCCACUUAUAAGUCUGGGAUAAUCACGGAAAACCGGAUCUAAUACCGGAUAAUAUUCUGAACCGCAGGGGGCAAAGGUGAAAGACGGCCUUGCGGUCUCGUAUAGCGGGAUCCGCGCUGUAUUAGCUGGUUGGUAGGGUCAAGGCCUAUUAAGGCAACGAGGCGUGGCCGACGUGAGAGACGGAUCGGCGACCUGGGAACUGAGACAGGGUCCAGACGACUACGGGAGGCAGCAGUCGGGAAUGGGCGGCAAAGGGCGAAAGCAUGACGGAGUAAGGGCGAGUGUGUGAUGACGGCCUUGGGAUCGUAAAGCUCUGUUAUGGGGUAAGAACAGAUGUGUCAUGAGACGAAGCGUGCUUGACGGUACCUAAUCAAGAAGCACCGGCUAACUACGUG